Molecule: small nuclear RNA, 98 nt
Organism: Pteropus vampyrus (large flying fox)
Lineage: Eukaryota; Metazoa; Chordata; Mammalia; Chiroptera; Pteropodidae
Source: Ensembl
GUACUUGCUUCAGUAGCACAUAUACCAAAAUUAGAACGACACAUCCUCAUGGCCCCUGCAUAAGGAUGAUGAAAAUUCAUGAAGUGUUUCAUAUUUAA